RNAcentral lists this ribosomal RNA (526 nucleotides) under uncultured bacterium. RNAcentral's name for it is "bacterial SSU rRNA". It matches the Rfam family "Bacterial small subunit ribosomal RNA", at positions 777 to 1301 of the family's 1533-position model. The record is from RNAcentral.
AAUAGAUACCCUGGUAGUCCACGCCGUAAACGAUGAGUGCUAAGUGUUAGAGGGUUUCCGCCCUUUAGUGCUGCAGCUAACGCAUUAAGCACUCCGCCUGGGGAGUACGGUCGCAAGACUGAAACUCAAAGGAAUUGACGGGGGCCCGCACAAGCGGUGGAGCAUGUGGUUUAACUCGAAGCAACGCGAAGAACCUUACCAGGUCUUGACAUCCUCUGACAACUCUAGAGAUAGAGCGUUCCCCUUCGGGGGACAGAGUGACAGGUGGUGCAUGGUUGUCGUCAGCUCGUGUCGUGAGAUGUUGGGUUAAGUCCCGCAACGAGCGCAACCCUUGAUCUUAGUUGCCAGCAUUUAGUUGGGCACUCUAAGGUGACUGCCGGUGACAAACCGGAGGAAGGUGGGGAUGACGUCAAAUCAUCAUGCCCCUUAUGACCUGGGCUACACACGUGCUACAAUGGAUGGUACAAAGGGCUGCAAGACCGCGAGGUCAAGCCAAUCCCAUAAAACCAUUCUCAGUUCGGAUUGU